This 309-nucleotide unclassified non-coding RNA is filed under the name rhizosphere metagenome. Its description in RNAcentral is "partial ribosomal RNA internal transcribed spacer region". The record is from RNAcentral.
GUAGGUGAGCCUGCGGAAGGAUCAUUAUUGAAUUAAACCUGAUAAGUUGCUGCUGGUUCUCUAGGGAACACUGUGCACGCUUGUCAUCUUUAUAUCUCCACCUGUGCACCUUUUGUAGACCUGGAUGUCUCUCCGAGUAGUGCUUUUUUUUGCACCUUGGGUUUUGAGGAUUGGCUUUAUUGUCUCUACCUUACAUUUCUAGGUCUAUGUUUUUUAUCAUAUACCCCAAUUUAUGUUAUAGAAUGUAAUACAUGGGACUUUGUGCCUAUAAACUUUAUACAACUUUCAGCAACGGAUCUCUUGGCUCUC